Molecule: ribosomal RNA, 407 nt
Filed under: uncultured bacterium
Lineage: Bacteria
Description: partial 16S ribosomal RNA
Rfam family: Bacterial small subunit ribosomal RNA
Source: RNAcentral
GACGAACGCUGGCGGCGUGCCUAAUACAUGCAAGUCGAACGCAUUUGCGAACGGGUGAGUAACGCGUAGGUAACUGCCUCAUAGCGGGGGAUAACUAUUGGAAACGAUAGCUAAUACCGCAUACUGUGAGAUGUACCUGCGUUGUAUUAGAUAGUUGGUGAGGUAAAGGCUCACCAAGGCGACGAUACAUAGCCGGUCUGAGAGGGUGAACGGACACACUGGGAAUGAGACACGGCCCAGAAUCCUACGGGAGGCAGCAGUAGGGAAUCUUGGGCAAUGGACGGAAGUCUGACCGAGCAACGCCGCGGGAGUGAAGAAGGUCUUCGGGUCGUAAAGCUCUGUUGUUAGGGAAGCGGUAACUAAACAGAAAGGGACGGCUAACUACGUGCCAGCAGCCGCGGUAAUAC